GAUGAACGCUGGCGGCGUGCCUAAUACAUGCAAGUCGAGCGAAUGGAUUAAGAGCUUGCUCUUAUGAAGUUAGCGGCGGACGGGUGAGUAACACGUGGGUGACCUGCCCAUAAGACUGGGAUAACUCCGGGAAACCGGGGCUAAUACCGGAUAACAUUUUGAACCGCAUGGUUCGAACUUGAAAGGCGGCUUCGGCUGUCACUUAUGGAUGGACCCGCGUCGCAUUAGCUAGUUGGUGAGGUAACGGCUCACCAAGGCAACGAUGCGUAGCCGACCUGAGAGGGUGAUCGGCCACACUGGGACUGAGACACGGCCCAGACUCCUACGGGAGGCAGCAGUAGGGAAUCUUCCGCAAUGGACGAAAGUCUGACGGAGCAACGCCGCGUGAGUGAUGAAGGCUUUCGGGUCGUAAAACUCUGCUGUUAGGGAAGAACAAGUGCUAGUUGAAUAAGCUGGCACCUUGACGGUACCUAACCAGAAAGCCACGGCUAACUACGUGCCAGCCGUCGCCGUAA
Molecule: ribosomal RNA, 515 nt
Filed under: uncultured bacterium
Lineage: Bacteria
Description: partial 16S ribosomal RNA
Rfam family: Bacterial small subunit ribosomal RNA
Source: RNAcentral